RNAcentral lists this transfer RNA (67 nucleotides) under Coptotermes kalshoveni. RNAcentral describes it as "tRNA-Met". Lineage: Eukaryota; Metazoa; Arthropoda; Insecta; Blattodea; Rhinotermitidae. The record is from RNAcentral.
AGAAAAGUAAGCUAAGAAAAGCUAAUGGGUUCAUACCCCAUAAAUAGAGCACACGCUCUCUUCUCUA